This 505-nucleotide ribosomal RNA is filed under the name uncultured bacterium. Its description in RNAcentral is "partial 16S ribosomal RNA". It matches the Rfam family "Bacterial small subunit ribosomal RNA", at positions 28 to 507 of the family's 1533-position model. The record is from RNAcentral.
GACGAACGCUGGCGGCGUGCCUAAUACAUGCAAGUAGAACGCACAGUUUAUACCGUAGCUUGCUCCACCAUAGACUGUGAGUUGCGAACGGGUGAGUAACGCGUAUGUAACCUGCCUGGUAGCGGGGGAUAACUAUUGGAAACGAUAGCUAAUACCGCAUAAUAUUGAUUAUUGCAUGAUAAUUGAUUGAAAGAUGCUAUUGCAUCACUACCAGAUGGACCUGCGUUGUAUUAGCUAGUAGGGGAGGUAACAGCUCACCUAGGCGAAGAUACAUAGCCUACCCGGGAGGGUGAACGGCCACCAUGGGAAUGAGACACGGCCCAAACUCCUACGGGGGGCAGCAGUAGGGAAACAUCGGAAAUGGACGGAAGUCUGACCGAGCAACGCCGCGGGGGGGAAGAAAGUUUUCGGAUCGUAAAGCUCUGUUGGAAGAGAAGAACGGGUGUGAGAGUAGAAAGUUCACACUGUGACGGUAUCUUACCAGAAAGGGACGGCUAACUACGUG